This 484-nucleotide ribosomal RNA is filed under the name uncultured bacterium. RNAcentral's name for it is "partial 16S ribosomal RNA". It matches the Rfam family "Bacterial small subunit ribosomal RNA", at positions 30 to 507 of the family's 1533-position model. The record is from RNAcentral.
AUUGAACGCUGGCGGCAGGCCUAACACAUGCAAGUCGAGCGGAUGAAGGGAGCUUGCUCCUGGAUUCAGCGGCGGACGGGUGAGUAAUGCCUAGGAAUCUGCCUGGUAGUAGGGGAUAACGUCCGGAAACGGGCGCUAAUACCGCAUACGUCCUGCGGGAGAAAGUGGGGGAUCUUCGGACCUCACGCUAUCAGGUGAGCCUAGGUCGGAUUAGCUAGUUGGUGGGGUAAAGGCCUACCUAGGCGAGGAUACGUAACUGGUCUGAGUGGAUGAUCAGUCACACUGGAACUGGGACACGGUCCAGACUCCUACGGGAGGCAGCAGUGGGGAAUAUUGGACAAUGGGCGAAAGCCUGAUCCAGCCAUGCCGCGUGUGUGAAGAAGGUCUUCGGAUUGUAAAGCACUUUAAGUUGGGAGGAAGGGCAGUAAGUUAAUACCUUGCUGUUUUGACGUUACCAACAGAAUAAGCACCGGCUAACUUCGUG